RNAcentral lists this transfer RNA (69 nucleotides) under Thermomonospora echinospora. RNAcentral describes it as "Actinomadura echinospora tRNA_Pseudo_TTT". The record is from RNAcentral. Lineage: Bacteria; Bacillati; Actinomycetota; Actinomycetes; Streptosporangiales; Thermomonosporaceae.
CGGGUCGGCAUGGGGGCAGACCACUUUUAAUCCGUAGGUUGUGGGUUCGAGUCCCACGCGACCCACCCA